UAGGGAAUCUUCCGCAAUGGACGAAAGUCUGACGGAGCAACGCCGCGUGAGCGAAGAAGGCCUUCGGGUCGUAAAGCUCUGUUGUUAGGGAAGAACAAGUAUCGGAGUAACUGCCGGUACCUUGACGGUACCUAACCAGAAAGCCACGGCUAACUACGUGCCAGCAGCCGCGGUAAUACGUAGGUGGCAAGCGUUGUCCGGAAUUAUUGGGCGUAAAGCGCGUCGCAGGCGGUCCUUUAAGUCUGAUGUGAAAGCCCACGGCUCAACCGUGGAGGGUCAUUGGAAACUGGGGGACUUGAGUGCAGAAGAGGAGAGUGGAAUUCCACGUGUAGCGGUGAAAUGCGUAGAGAUGUGGAGGAACACCAGUGGCGAAGGCGACUCUCUGGUCUGUAACUGACGCUGAGGCGCGAAAGCGUGGGGAGCAAACAGGAUUAGGAUACCCUGGUAGUCCACGCCGUAAACGGAUGAGUGCUAAGUGUUAGAGGGUUUCCGCCC
This 495-nucleotide ribosomal RNA is filed under the name uncultured Bacillota bacterium. RNAcentral describes it as "bacterial SSU rRNA". It matches the Rfam family "Bacterial small subunit ribosomal RNA", at positions 355 to 838 of the family's 1533-position model. Lineage: Bacteria; Bacillati; Bacillota. The record is from RNAcentral.